GCCUACGGGGGGCAGCAGUGGGGGAUAUUGCACAAUGGGGGGAACCCUGAUGCAGCGACGCCGCGUGGGUGAAGAAGCGCCUCGGCGCGUAAAGCCCUGUCAGCAGGGAAGAAAAUGACGGUACCUGAAGAAGAAGCCCCGGCUAACUACGUGCCAGCAGCCGCGGUAAUACGUAGGGGGCAAGCGUUAUCCGGAUUUACUGGGUGUAAAGGGGGCGCAGACGGCGAUGCAAGCCAGGAGCGAAAGCCCGGGGCCCAGCCCCGGGACUGAUCUUAGAAGUGCGUGGCUGGAGUGCAGGAGGGGCG
This 305-nucleotide ribosomal RNA is filed under the name uncultured bacterium. RNAcentral describes it as "partial 16S ribosomal RNA". It matches the Rfam family "Bacterial small subunit ribosomal RNA", at positions 337 to 659 of the family's 1533-position model. The record is from RNAcentral.